This 253-nucleotide ribosomal RNA is filed under the name uncultured bacterium. RNAcentral describes it as "partial 16S ribosomal RNA". It matches the Rfam family "Bacterial small subunit ribosomal RNA", at positions 524 to 776 of the family's 1533-position model. The record is from RNAcentral.
UACGGAGGGUGCGAGCGUUAAUCGGAAUUACUGGGCGUAAAGGGCACGUAGGCGGUUUGGUAAGUCGGAUGUGAAAGCCCUGGGCUUAACCUGGGAAUUGCAUUCGAUACUGUCAAGCUAGAGUACGAGAGAGGGGGGUAGAAUUCCUGGUGUAGCGGUGAAAUGCGUAGAUAUCAGGAGGAAUACCAGUGGCGAAGGCGGCCCCCUGGAUCGAUACUGACGCUGAGGUGCGAAAGCGUGGGGAUCAAACAGG